RNAcentral lists this long non-coding RNA (638 nucleotides) under Vulpes vulpes (red fox). RNAcentral describes it as "lncRNA (ENSVVUG00000029379.1)". The record is from RNAcentral. Lineage: Eukaryota; Metazoa; Chordata; Mammalia; Carnivora; Canidae.
UGACUCGAGCCGAGCGCCGGGGGGGCGGGGUGCAGCGGCGCCGCGGGAGGAGCUGGGCGCGGAGCGCGGCCCCUUCCCUGCGGGCGCGCGGCCAGGUUACAGCCACGCUCAGGAGCCUCUUGGGAAAAGCCCAAAAGUCCCCAUUUUGCAGAAAGCCUGCUGGGAUGUGGUGGGACCCCGCGGCGAGAGAAACCCCGGGAGGCCUCGAAAGCCCUGGCUUCCAGGGCCCCACCCUGCCUGGGCAAGGCCUCCCGCGCUCCGGGGCCCGCACUUCCGGCCCCCGCGGGUUCCCUGACCUGCGCUACCGGGCACUUCCGCCGCCAGACACGUGGCCCCGGGGCCUGGAGGAGGCUGCUGGAAGGCCCGGCUCUAGCAGUUGGGGCCUUCACCUGUCCCCGUUAUUUCGUCGCAAGCCCCUGUGGGAAGUGGUGCCGAGGAGGGCCAGAGGGCCUUCACCAGUUUCUGUACUUAGGAGGCAUGGCCUGCAACAAAUGUCGAAAGAAUUACUGAGUGAAUCUGCUGCCUCUUUGGGCAUAUGGUGUGGGAAUUACAUUGAAAUGAUAAAAUCAACAGUGAUCCUUGAAAGGAGCAAGAGCCACAGUACUCCUGAACUAGCAGGAAUGGUGAGAUGUGUCUGA